CAGUUGUACAAGUCAAAACUCAGACGUAGGCAGUUUCUCCUGCGAUUGCACAGAUGUUUGGGGUGAGUCCCCAACAAUUAAAAGGCAGCGUUAUGUCAUGGUGAUUAAUCGUGGGCUGACACCGUUUCACACUGACAGACCAAAGGAGCGGAAAUAAUUCUGAUCGUUUAUCACCCGGCGUGACUUCCUUUCCUCACAUUUUCUUUUCUCGUCCAGUGGUUAAAACUAUGUUCAGAGUUUUUAAAGCAAACUCUGAACUUCCAAGCCAAGGGAGUUAAGUCCAGGAAAGAGCCACCUUUCUUAGGAAAUGGCAAGCAACCUUUGUGUGCUUUGGGCGCCGCCUCCACUCGGUUCCUGUUUUUCCUCCCCGAGGCCGCCCUGGUGGGGUUAGGUGGCAAGGAUGCCUGUGGAGGAAGCAUCCCUGAGAGCCUGCUCGAAGCCUGCGGGUCCCAGAAGCCACAGCUACUUAAAGUUCCUCCAGAUCUUGACUGCACAUGCUGGUGCUAUAAACCAGGGCUUCAAACAGCAAACCUUAGAGGAAUGUGCUGGCUGGGGUAUACAUCUGUGCCUUCUUUCUGUAGUAAAAAAGUCACACUGCAGCUGCUGGGUUUAGGAGUUAGAACAGGAUCCAUUGCUAUGCAAACAAACUCUUUGUAUAAGAGUAUGUAAGGUUCUGGGUUCAAUCCUCACUUCAAACAAAACACCCUUGAAAGAUUUCCUUUAAGACACUGGCUCCAACUGUAAGGAUUAUGCUGGCUGCCCCUGUCACCUGGCAGAAUGCACUCAGGCAGUGACCUGGUCAGCCCAGGAUUCCAUGAGUACUAGUCUGCACCAGGUGCAAAGGACCCCUUUAAAAGAAAGACCCCGCCCACUUAUGCCCUCUUUCCCGCUCUUCCCCUGGGCCAGGAGUUCAUUAAUGUGUGCCUGAGUCAAAAUACCAUUAAUUAAAUUGCACAUGGAGACUAUCCAUAUGCACAUCUUCGUGUCAGAGGAAGAAGAAGCACACAUGGGGGAAACUGGAGCGUUCCGGCUUUCCUUGGUUUGCACCCAGACUUUUGAAUUAGAAAUGAAAUACCUUGUUGUGCCUACAGAGAGAACCACCUUUCUGCACCUGUGUAGCAGUGCACUUGGACUCCAAGUCAGAGUUUUGAGGAGCACCACUGUGCUCCUCUGGGAGUCCUAUUUCCUCACCUGACAUUAGAGGCUGGAUCAGAUUGUCUUCCUCUGGCUAGCCAUUGGUUGAGCUCGGCCUUGGGGUUAUAACUCUUGCUCCUUUGCCUGUUUGUUCCUCUAGUUAAUCAAACAGAUAAGCUUAGGUGACCUUAGGGCAAGCCCUUUAGCUAUCAAUAACCGUAGCUAUCUGUGUCACAUGCCGGAUAUCCCAAGGCCAGCUGGAGGUGCAGGUGGGAAGAAGCUGUGGUUUUCAGCCGUGCCCCUCCUGCGCAUGUUUCUCCCUAUCUGCACAAGUUCCUGGACUUAGCCUUUCUGUGACAGGAAGGCCAGAGUGUGCCUUUCUUGGUCUGGCAGUACUAGAGAGCAGCAGCGCUACAGAAUAAACAUUUUUAAAAAGAAGAAAGGGCCACCCGCUAUUAAAGAAUAAUAAAGGAUUGCCAAGAACGCAGUUCAUAAGUCAAAAUGACUGCCUUAAGAACUUCGGGAACACUUUCAUUAAGUGCUUACGUUGUAUAACAGACUUGUGCUUACAUCUUUAAUUGGAAAUAAUAAAAUUCUCUUCCCAUGACUCUUUUGCUGUCCUCUCUCGUGUUUUCUCUUUAUGGGCCUCUCCAGUGCCUACAGUGCUCCGUCUCCCUCAUUGCUCCUACCUUCUCCUCUCUCCCACUCUUCUGGCUUCCUAGCUUUCGGCAGCCUCCCUGUCAUCCUCCUUAGCACUGGUAAAGAUUCAGAGAGGUUGAAACUGUAACUAGAGUCUGGACAAUGUAACAACAUAACACCAAGUAUGCAAGUGCUAGGCACUUUCACUACAGUGGCCUACCAUCAAGCCAACAGUGCCAUUUAAGUCAUUGGCACAGCUACUUGAGGUGACUUGAUAACCUCUAAGAGCUGGUUAUGGGGGUCGGGGACUGGCCUGAAGGACUUCAGCAGCCUGACAGUAUUCAUCACUCAACAGACACCACACCCAAGCUCUGAGACUACUGAGAUGGUUUGCAAAGAGGAGGGUGGAUGGACGGUGCUGCACAGAGACCUUCCUGUGAUAGGUGGUACUUCACUGUGUUCUGCACACACCUCCCUGAAAGCAUGCCAGUCAGCCCUAACUGUAGCCCACACUGCUGCUUCUCCUCAGAAAAUGUGUACGGAGAAAUGGGGGUGAGCCAGUCCAUUUCACUGCUGUUACUAAAGCAGCAACGUAUAAAGAAGCUGCCCGUGUUCAGUUUUAACAGCAGCCAUGGUCUUUCCAGCUGCCCAAGCUACAUGUACUCAUCCCUGCCAGUCCCCCUAUGAACUGGAUAAAGAUUUGCUUGGCAAAUACAUGUCUCAGGCCUAUAGCCCCCAACACAUGCACCCAUUGCCCAGAGGAGUCAGAGCUCCAGAUCAGGUAAUGAGAUCCUGUCCAGUGUUGUUGAUUUUCUGUGAGGCUUUCCCCCCAAAAGUUGUCCUCACUUCCACCACAGAACUAAGUCAAAUGAAAAUAAAUAUAAACGUGACUGUUUAUGUCAAGUUGCCAUUUUCAGCAACACAAUAAUCCUGCUCCAUUACAUUAAUUGUUCAGACAUGGAUUCAGGAUGUGUUAAAGCCUGGGGAUGAUAAUGGACCCUGAAGUACUUCCUUGCAGGAAGUUUUUUUGGAUUAUUCAGACUGUUCCGUUGCUGAAAUGGAGAGUGAAUCCGCCUUUUAUUGCAAAGAGCAUCCUGUCACAUACAUGGAAAACAGGUUCUAUAAUCAGCUAGUGAACCCAGGCAGUGACCACAGGUGGAAGGGAGCAAGCACCCUCUGCUUCCACUCCCAGCAUGCCACGGGGCAGACGAUGCUUUACUGACUGGUUUCUCUUAGUUGUUUCCACCAGGGUUGAUCUAGAAUUUCUAAUGCAGUUAUAGUUGCUUCCUCUGUCCCUUAAACAGCUCUGGCUCUCUUCCCCUUCUGGAACCUUCUGUGUGUGCCCUAUUCAUUUCAGCUGCUGCGCUCUGUGUCCUAACUGGGGUUGGUGGCCUUUUCCCAUCCAUAUCUCAGACAUCUUUCUGUUUACAUAGGGAAUAUUCACUUUUUAAAAACAGUUCUUUUAGGUACAGUAAAUGAGCUGAAGAAAUCAAAGUUUCUUUUUCUUCUGCUGAGCCUCCAGCAAGGAGCAGUGUGAGUCCUAGAUACUCUCUGUGCCAUGAUGCUGCCAUGUCUGCUCAGGCUGCCACAGAGGGGUGAAUGUGGUAGACGUAUCAGGUGUCUGGUGGGGCCCAUAAGAGGCAUGUUUCGCUGUGUGAGUUUCUGUAGCUACUGCAGGUAAUUAUAGUAAACUUGGUGGUUUUAAACCACUAUGAACUUAAAGUCACUAGACAAACAAUUGCGUUUAUUUAAAGUCAAGUGGGAAAUGGUGCACUUUGCUCUUUUUAGUCAUGCCCCUUUGCUUUUAUAUCUCAGUAAAUGCAAAACAAGUCAGUUCUUUCUUCUUGCACAGUCUGGGAAGAGUUCACAGUAGGUUUCAAAAUGCUGAGGUCAAGGUGUGAGCAGGGUUAGCAUCCUCUGGAGCUCUCAGGAAAGCCUUCUUUCUAGGCCUUCUCCAUGUUGAGUUCAUCUGCAUGCCUUGGUUAGUGGCCCCUUCCUCCAUCCCCGCUAUGCCCCUGGCUCCACCUGGCUCAUAAAGAGUAAUCUUAAAUUCAUCUGAUUAGCUUUCUAAUUCCAUCUGCAACCCUAAUUUCGCCUUGCCAUAGAACACAUUUGGGGAAAGGGGACAUUAUACUGUCCACCACAGUUACUCUUCCCCAUUCUGUUGCCCAUGACCCAGCUAAAUGGCCUUAAGCCAAUUGCAACAGAGUCCAGAAGUGGCACCAACCAACACCUAACAGUCCCUGCCUCCAGGAUUUCUGGUGCCAAUUCUCCCCAGCACUUCCAGCAGUGGGUCCUGCUUUCUCUUCUGACUCACAAGGCUGCUCUGUGGCUGCUUCUGCACUCAGACACAGUGGUGGUAGGAAGAUAGACACAACCUUCCUAGACCACACCCUGUCUCUUCAUUUUUCAGCCCCGGAGAGUGAAAGGAGUUGCCGUGUGUGACUUAAAUCACUUAGCACCUCAGCAUCCUGUAUCCUAAGUGCAGAGAGUUUUCAUUUUCCUCUCAGCUUCCUUAGUGAUGAGCUAUCUGAGGUGCAGGAUCAGGGCAUCAGGGAGGGACUGAUAAUUUCAGCACAUAUCACAGAGAGCCUCUGUUGGAACCCUACACAGUCUGGGGCAGAGGGUUCUAUGGGAUCUCCCACAGCUGACAAGCUGAUAGGCCAUACAUCAACACCCAGUGUCUGCACUUGGUUCUGCCCUCUUUCCGCCACCUUUUCCUUACAGAGCUCACAGUCUGGGUUUCAUGAGCACCAUGGAGGGGAGGCCCCUUCCCUGCCCGGUGACAUAGAGACACUCCUAAUAAAGAUAAGCUGCAUUCGUUCCUUUGCCCCGUUCCCUUUCAUCUCAAGCCCGUAUCCCACAUCCCCCCACCUAUCUCACAUAUCCUAGAGGAAGUCCAAUUCCAGCUCCCCUUGCUUACAAGCCUCUACAGUGCACUGUGCUUGAUUCCUAACCUACAAUGUGCUGGUUGCUUUCUUUUGUUCUCCCCACCAAAACAGUCGUCAGAGCCCUUCAACUCUUAAGGGUGGAUUACCUACUUUAGAUACCAUUUUCAACCGCUCUUCUCAAAGAACAACAAGGGCAGCUGCCCUUGCACAACAUGCUUUAUGAUCUGCACUCAAGCUUUUGAGACAUGGUGUGUGUUAUUAAUAGCUAAACCCCCUCCCCAUCAGAUGCUGUGCCCAGUAUCCUGCAGGGUCCUGAAAGACCUUUCUCUCCUCCAUCUACCAUCCUGCUACAGAUUUUCCCAGCCUCUUGCUGAGCCUUAACAAUAACUGCCAGUGACUCCCUCUGAGUUCAGCACUAUGACAGUUGAAGGGAACUUUAGCCAGGGAUGUCUGGGUAGUUAGUCACUGCCCCCUCCAUUUGCUUCCGGGUCUACCCUCUUUCCAUCUGGACAGUUGUUCCACAAAUUGCUUUUUAUUUCAAACUUUUUCCCUUCCUGCAGGUGAUCUGAUGAUCUGGACUUGACUGUAAUCUGUCUGCAUUCUGUGCUUGGAAGGGUUCCUGGUGAUUAAGGACAUAGAUCAUCUAGAUCGGUCUGGUCCAGCUGUGCCUUUUGCAGACUGUGUGCCCCUGGGGGAAACUGGGCCCUAGCACAGGGUGACUGAAGUGUGAUGAUGGUGCCUCGAACAUCGUGACAAUAAACAGGCAGAAGUGGCAGGAUUACCCAGGAUCUGAGAGUCACUGGAAGCGUCCUUACCUAGCCAUGAUUUCGUGAUGAAGGUCAGCUGAUUGCCAACCAUCACCUGCCAGCACCACAGUGGUCUCCUUCCCUGUGGGUUCUGUUACCUCCACGUGAAGGCUGGUGGAAUGCGGAUUGUGCAGAAACACCCACAUACGGGAGACGGGAAGGAAGAGAAGGACAAAGACGAGCAAGAAUGGGAAAGCACCAGGGUUAGAGUCUCCGCACAUACUGCCUCAGACAGACUAAAGACCCGGCUGCUUUCAAGUGCUUGCUCUUCCUUAGAGGUGGCUGUGGUGGCCAAAGGAAACAGUGACACAAGUGUUCAGGGCAUGUCUGUCUAUAUCUCCUCACCGCUGCAAUGCCAUCAAGGAAUACAGCUUUGAGGAGUGGCUGUCCCUUACAGUGUCAGGACUUUGUGGAUGCAGUGGCUGGAAACAUAACAUGUAAAAAGAUUUCUUGGAACAUCGAACUCUGGCCACCUAACACUGUGGCUUUGUUGAUUAAUACCGGCUCUGUGGGCUCCUUCCCCCAUGACCUUAGAGGAUGGUGGGGUCUCAAUCUCGAAGAAGAGGAAGCACGAUUGUCAUCCACUGGGUAUUGAGCGAGAAGGCCAUUAUUGUUACGUUAAAACAUCUUAAUAGGUGGCAUCCAGCCUGGGUGCAGUGUGGCCUCUGGCAGCCACCCCUUGCCAAAGUAAAUGUUUAGAGUUACCAUAAUACAGAGGAGCUAGAUUUAAGAGAUUAUUUCUUGGUACCCGAAGACAUCUAGAUUUCGAUUUACCUUGCAUAUUGACUGUGUUUCUGAGUUCCUUUCUUCCUUUUUCUUUUCUUUUCUUUUUUAAACAUUUUUGGGUCUAUUCAGCCUCAUUUUCUCACUGAUUUUUUUCACGGGUGGCAGUUAUUUCUACAUCUCACUGUAAUACCCCUUUUUUGUCCCUAAAGUUUGGUAUGCAGUAAUUACAGAAGUCAUUGGGUAUCACGAUGGCAAACACUGGCCACAGUGCUCACUAAGCCAUGGCAGAGUUGCUGUGAAGUGGACACCAAGCAAUCCUGGCCCGAUAUGUUUCCCCUGUCGGAGAAAUUAACAACGUUGUUUAUUGCUGCUAAAUCCGGGCAUGAUGUAUCAAGAGACAUGCUGUCAGGCCCAAUUUAGGAUCAUCAGAUUAACUAUUGCAUGUGACAAGCUGACAUGUGCAGAAGGUGAUAAAUAGCUCCUGUUGAAUUCUGUGCUGGGUUCUUGUGGUUAGGGGCACAGGUGAUGAGCUAUACUGACACCCCCCCACCCUGCUGAAUCCUGCUUCUUCCCAUGGUGUCACAGAACUGAGUUAUCCAGACUUGGGUUACCCACACGCUCUGUGAUGCUUGUGUUUACACAUUAUUGUAUUGCUUGAGAUGGGUGCUGUUUACCUAGUUUUGACCCAACAGUUAUUUUCAACAAGUAUUUGUUGGGGACACAGGGCACUAGGGAGAUGGCUCAGCAGUUACAAGCACUUGCUGCUCUCCUAGAGGAUCCAGGUUCAAUUCCCAGCAUCCACUUGGAGGCUCAGAACCAUCUCUAAACUCCAGUUCCAAUGAACUGAACGCCACCUUCUAGUCACCAACGUCACCAGGCAUGUGCGUGGUGCACAGAUAUACAAGCAGGCAAAACUACUAUAUGCAUAAAAUAAAGUAAAAUAAUUUUUAAAGAAUUUUUAUGGCUACCCAAGGAUGUAGCUCGAUGGCUUGUCUAGCACCACCAAAAUAAAAAGAAGGCAUUUGCCAGGUUGUCGGGACGUUGUCAGUAGUCGGUCUCAGGGUCAACAACUGUCAUCUGGGAACUCGUCACUGACCUGCUUCUACACUUCUACACCUCCGAGUAGAGUAGGGCCCACUGCAGGGAAGCACAUUGCCAGGCCACAGGUCUCCUGUCCAUGUUCAAGCAGAAAAACACUGAGUAGACCAAGGAAUUUUCCACAUAUCAAGUCAUUCAGCCCUCAGACCCUGUGUUUUUUCCAGUUACUCUUCAUCCAUCAGACUUGCCUCUCUCCCUGCCCUGUCAUUUCUAAGUGAGGAGCAACCGCUUCCUCCCUGGUUCCAGGAUUGUGUCUCUCAGUACACCAUGCAUGUGUGCUGCCUGGAGUGAUAGCUCCUGAUGUUCGGCAUUCCCUCCAUGUCUGGGGCACAGUGCAGCAUGGUGGGUGCAUGGCUAGGAGAGGAAGAGUUAGGUGUUGUUAGCCUCAGCCCUCAAGGACCGUGGAGCCUGAGGUUCUGGGUCAGAAAUGAAACAAAAUAAGAAUCUCUCAUGUGGAAAGAUGCAGCAUGUUAUAGGUGGUGGUCACUGGUCAUUCUCAGCAGUGACUAUGAAUUGGUGUCUUGUCAGCUGUAACCAGCCCAUCUACCCACAGCUAUCAUGCUGUUCCACUGAGACGGACUGAUCCUGGGACCACUGGUAUUGAAAGUGUAAAGGUAUAGCAGCUGGCAAGUAGCCCAGCCUAGGUUUCCAUCCUGGCUUGUCCUUCCCACAGCCUGGGCAUUUUUGUCUGGCCAGGCUACGGGCUCCAGUGAGAGGCACCAUUGUAAUGAUAACUUUUUCCACCAGCCUCCUGAGUUCCACUGCCACAUUAGAGCCCCAAAAUAACACACGGAGAUUAAUAUUAGAUACAGUGCUGCUGGUCAAUGACUAGGAUUUCUUAUUUGCUAGCUCAGUCUUAAUUAUCAACCAUAACUACUAAUAUAUAUAUAUAUAUAUAUAUAUAUAUAUAUACUAUUUUUAAUAAGGAUUUAUCAACCAAUAAGACAAACAUAUACACAGAAGGAUUUCCCCCAUUACACCAUCUUCCCCGGCCUCCAUCUAAGCCAGGCAGAGGGCUGAAAAUAUUCUUUGUACCACAUCAUCUGAGGUCAUCUUCUUAUUCUCGUGAUCAGGAGGUCCUGGGCAUCCAGCAAAUGACCUCCUAUGGCACAUGUUGGAAAUCCACAGUGCACCGUGGCAUGGGACCAGGUAAAGGGGUGACCCUUGCCUCAGAGAAAGCCACAAAACUCUGUUCAUCCCACAAUGCUGUUUAUUGCAUAGCACCUUCUGGGAGUAUCAUCGGACAUUUCUGGUCACACUCGGGAGGUGUGUAAGGGUGUGAAGCCUCCAAUGGUGGCAUCUACAUGGUGUCUUCCCUAUGGCCAUGCCCUGUCUGGGAGUCUGCUACAUCUGGGUCUUGUACACCAGGCAAGAGUGACGUGGCAUAGACAGAAUAGCUGUGUAUUGCUGGAACUGGGCCUCUGUAUAUCUUCUGUAACAAGCAGCUUACCUCAGUCUUUUUAGGACCAUGUGUGUGUCUCAACGGCAAAUAAACAUUUGCAAGGUGCAAAACCUUGGCAGUUCA
This is a non-coding RNA of Cricetulus griseus (Chinese hamster), 8819 nucleotides long. The record is from RefSeq and is a predicted model, not a curated record. NCBI's taxonomy places the organism in Eukaryota, Metazoa, Chordata, Mammalia, Rodentia, Cricetidae.